Molecule: ribosomal RNA, 459 nt
Filed under: uncultured bacterium
Lineage: Bacteria
Description: partial 16S ribosomal RNA
Rfam family: Bacterial small subunit ribosomal RNA
Source: RNAcentral
CCUACGGGCGGCAGCAGUGAGGCAUAUUGGUCAAUGGCCGUAAGGCUGAACCAGCCAAGUCGCGUGAAGGAAGAAGGAUCUAUGGUUUGUAAACUUCUUUUAUAGGGGAAUAAAGGUAUCCACGUGUGGAUAUUUGCAUGUACCCUAUGAAUAAGCAUCGGCGAACUCCGUGCCAGCAGCCGAGGUAAUACGGAGGAUGCGAGCGUUAUCAGGAUUCGUUGGUUUUAAAGGGUGCGCAGGCGGGCCUUUAAUCCGGCGGUGAAAUCGCGGGGCUCAACACCGCAGAGCCGGCGGAACUGGGGGCCUGGAGGGCGGCGGAGGCAUGCAGAAUGCGCGGUGUAGCGGUGAAAUGCAUAGAUAUCGCGCAGAACCCCGAUUGCGAAGGCAGCGGGCCGUGCCGCCACUGACGCUGAGGCACGAAAGCGCGGGGAUCGAACAGGAUUAGAUACCCCAGUAGUC